Long non-coding RNA from Pangasianodon hypophthalmus (striped catfish), 2549 nucleotides. RefSeq lists it as uncharacterized. The transcript is spliced from 3 exons. The record is from RefSeq and is a predicted model, not a curated record. Lineage: Eukaryota; Metazoa; Chordata; Actinopteri; Siluriformes; Pangasiidae.
ACUAAAGUGAGUAGCAUUAUAAGGCCUUAGAAGUACAGCAAGUUUCUGCAGUUUUUUUUAUGUUGCACACAAGCACUAAAUGUCACAUAAAUCAUACACACACCACACAUCAUGUGUGCACACACGCACUACUUAGGGCUUGUCUGGACUUGUUUGCUGGUGGGGCAAAAGUGCUUGUGUGCCCAUGCUGGCAAUAGGGGGCAGUGUAGGCAGUGAUUUGUACAGUGUGUUGUAGCUGAGGUUGGAGGGUGGAGCUGUGGGGGUUGGCGGGAGAAAGCAGCUUCAGAGUGUCUCUCCCUCCCUGCCCUGUUUACUCCUUUUUGCACCACUCGAAAAAAAAACACCUUCGGAGAGACACUCCCUCAUAGCAAAUGAGUGAUGGCCAAGUGCCAGCCCGCAUUUACCACUUUUACCUUUUACCGCUGUGGAAUGUGAAUUACAACUCAACAUUGGGGAGACCGCAUCUCAGGCAUGAUAUGGACCAGAACGUACAGCUGGAAGGAAAAGCAGUUCACCUGUGAAGAGGAUGAGAUGAGGGCCUUGCUUGUCUCCUGUAAAAAAGAAACUGCAGAGUGGAAGAAAGAACAAUGUGAGCUGGGCAGACAUACAAUAACCAUGUGUCAAGCUGCAUGGAGAACAUUGUGGCUGUUCUCCCAAGAACCUCCUGGCUUUCACACAGAGCUGAGGAAAUUAAUGGACCUUGUUUACUGGUGUGUAUGUGGGUCUGAAGGGAGAGAUUUCUGAAGGGGAGAGAUGCUGUCCUUAUUUCAUCUUCAUUUUACUCUACCACACCAAAGUUAAUUAUUUUCCAAUAACAGCACAUCCUGAAAUGUCUUAUUCCUCUUAUACUACAUAAAUAAUUGUUUGCCAACAAUUAUAUUUUUUAUUAAUUAAAAAAUGUGAUACUUUUUUAUUCAUAUACAGUUAUAUUUAAUAUUGUGGAAUGUCUGCAAAACAAGUUAGUUCCUAUUAUCACUUAUGUUACAACAGAGAUAAACAGUCAUUCCUCACCAGCCUGUCUCUCUCUCUCUUUUUUUUUUUUAAGCUUGUCAUGUUAUUGAUAAACCACAAAGUCCUGCGUCCUGAAGACUUUCCCAUGCUGGGAACAGGUUUACCUCUUACUGUUACAAAGCACUGACACUGUAGAUUCCUUCCAUAAAUGCUAAACAAAUAUCUCAUCACAGAUUUAUUUAUGGGGAAUAUCCACCAUACAAGUCCCUGUGUAAGUACUUACUAUAGUACUAAUAGCAUUUUAGAACAACUACAUUAAUAUAAAUGAAUGUGAUUUGUCUUCUGAAGCAAUGUCAGAGCUGCUGUUAUAGAAAAUUAAUCAGCACUAAUUAGAUUCAAGAAUUUGACACCACAGUGUUAGAAAGAAUUGUCCUCUGGAUGAAUGGCCUCCAUUUCUGAAUCACUCGAAUUUCCAGAGAGCUUUCUUUUUUUUCGAAAUUGAUUUUAGGCUUUUUCUCCUCUUGUCACUGCACUGUGCUACUGUGCUUAUGUCCAUAAUCAGUGCUUCAUAGGAUAAACAUGUAAUCAAGAUGACAUCAUAGUUUCUGUAUUUGUGUCCUAAUUUUAGGCUUGAAGUCCCCUUUCUCUGGUGUGAUGUGGUUUAGUUUAAGUGUGAGCUUAAGUCCACAGCUUUAACAAUGUUCAUUAACUACCCACUUUAGACCAAAGCUUUGGGUAUUUGGUAACUAUCAAUCAAUUCUACCAAUAUUAUUUCUACUUUCCAGUACAAUGAUUGAUUUGAAAUCAUCUGUAGGUUGUAGAAAAGGUGGAAUUUCUCAGAACUGUGCUGGCCACAUCUAGCUCCUAAUGUGAAGAAGUAUUUGUGGGUUAGACUUAGAAAACAUACAUUGCUCUCUGAGGAGUCUGUGUGGAAGAAUGUAGAGGUGCAGGAGAUUUUUUAGUAGGUUUUCAAAGAGACAAAGAGUGAGUGAGAGAGAGAGAGUGAGAGAGAGAGAGAGAGCGAGAGAGAGCGAGAGAGAGAAUUGGGCACACUCUGCUGCUUGGCCUCAUUUGUGUUAUUGCAGAGGAAGCAAUCCAAGAGGUCUCAGUGCAUGCAGAAGGAGGUGGAAAGAGAUUUAACUUACCAUGUAAACUCUGAAGAAAGGGAAUCGAGAAUCUGUGUGUUCUACUGCCGAUUUCUCUGUUUGUUUAACUGAGAGGAAACCAACAGCUUAGCUCUAAUUGUGUGGUUAGUUUAUUUGUGUUACUGUGCUGCUCUUUUAUGUUUUCCAUGAACUCCUCUCCCUCUCACUAGACCACUUUGCUCGAUGUUUGCCCAUUUCGGUGCAAAAGGAAGCACAUACUGGCAAUUUGUAUUUUAAAAGAUGUAUGAAGCCACAUCAGGCAGGCCUCUCUAUCUAAAGGCUGCAGCAUGAGACUAAUAUGCUACGUCACCGUCAUGGAUCUAUAUCUCUAUUUUGAGAUUUACACAACCGUGUAUUGGGUUUGGACGGGCUCCAGGGCUCCAGGGCUCCAGGCCCUACAGCACUCAAGGCUGCACCAAUGCUCGUGGUGGAGGAGGGGCGAAAAGCGACAUG